GAUGAAGAACGCAGCGAAACGCGAUAUGUAAUGUGAAUUGCAGAAUUCAGUGAAUCAUCGAAUCUUUGAACGCACAUUGCGCCCCCUGGUAUUCCGGGGGGCAUGCCUGUCCGAGCGUCAUUACAACCCUCAAGCUCAGCUUGGUGUUGGGCCCCGCCGCCCCGGCGGGCCCUAAAGUCAGUGGCGGUGCCGUCCGGCUCCGAGCGUAGUAAUUCUUCUCGCUCUGGAGGUCCGGUCGUGUGCUCGCCAGCAACCCCCAAUUUUUUUCAGGUUGACCUCGGAUCAGGUAGGGAUACCCGCUGAACUUAAGCAUAUCAAUAAGCGGAGGA
RNAcentral lists this unclassified non-coding RNA (329 nucleotides) under soil metagenome. RNAcentral's name for it is "partial contains 5.8S ribosomal RNA, internal transcribed spacer 2, and large subunit ribosomal RNA". The stretch from base 1 to 120 matches the Rfam family "5.8S ribosomal RNA", at positions 35 to 154 of the family's 154-position model. The record is from RNAcentral.